AUGCUUGUCGACAUUGUUGUUGAUCUGUUUGGUGACGUGGGGGUUUUCCUCACACCAAACCAUGCAGCCGCUGUAUUUGCCUGGAAAUCUCCAGGCGUUCCUCACGCAGAACUCGGAGCACGUCAUCUCACGCGUCACGCGCCGCGCCUCCUCCGCUGCCGCCUGAGCCAGGACGGCGGCGGCUACUCUUGCUUCCCCAAGUUGGACGUGGACCGCGGUGGCCUCUUGUCGACGCUUCUGGUUGAGGAGGCGGCCUUGACACUUUCGCAUGCAGGCAUCGUGGUCCUUGCUGUUAUGACAGACCUUGAAGCAGUCAGGGACCACACCUGCCACCGUCAUCGCCCCAAGCUGGACCUCGACGGCGGCAGCGUCCUGGCGAUGCUUGUCAUUGAUGAGACGGGCAGGCUCGCUGUCCCUGCCCGCCGCCGUGGCCAGGAGGAGCCCGACGACGAGCAGGCCUACGCACCACGCAACGCUACGCUUGUUGGAACCCAUCCCCAUGACCACCAUUGCUUGGUAGCUAUACUAGUACUGCUGGCUAUGAACAACUUAACAACACUGUUUUGGUAUUUAUAG
RNAcentral lists this ribosomal RNA (576 nucleotides) under Triticum aestivum (bread wheat). RNAcentral describes it as "partial small subunit ribosomal RNA". The record is from RNAcentral. Lineage: Eukaryota; Viridiplantae; Streptophyta; Magnoliopsida; Poales; Poaceae.